UGCCUACGGGGCGCAGCAGUGGGGAAUAUUGCGCAAUGGGGGGAACCCUGAUGCAGCGACGCCGCGUGGGUGAAGAAGUCAUUCGUGACGUAAAGCCCUAUCAGCAGGGAAGAAAAUGACGGUACCUGACUAAGAAGCCCCGGCUAACUACGUGCCAGCAGCCGCGGUAAUACGUAGGGGGCAAGCGUUAUCCGGAUUUAUUGGGUGUAAAGGGCGUGUAGGCGGGAGCGCAAGUCAGAUGUGAAAACUCAGGGCUCAACCCUGAGCCUGCAUUUGAAACUGUGUUUCUUGAGUGCUGGAGAGGG
This 305-nucleotide ribosomal RNA is filed under the name uncultured bacterium. RNAcentral's name for it is "bacterial SSU rRNA". It matches the Rfam family "Bacterial small subunit ribosomal RNA", at positions 335 to 658 of the family's 1533-position model. The record is from RNAcentral.